UGGUAGGAGAGCGUUCCGUAAGCCUGCGAAGGUGCCUUGUAAAGGGUGCUGGAGGUAUCGGAAGUGCGAAUGCUGACAUGAGUAGCGAUAAAGGGGGUGAAAGGCCCCCUCGCCGUAAGCCCAAGGUUUCCUACGCAACGUUCAUCGGCGUAGGGUGAGUCGGCCCCUAAGGCGAGGCAGAAAUGCGUAGCUGAUGGGAAGCAGGUCAAUAUUCCUGCACCAUUGUUAGAUGCGAUGGGGGGACGGAUCGCGGAAGGUUGUCCGGGUGUUGGAAGUCCCGGUCGCUGCAUUGGAGAAGGCGCUUAGGCAAAUCCGGGCGCGUAAUUCAAGGGUGUGGCGCGAGCUCCUUAGGGAGCGAAGCAAUUGGAAGUGGUUCCAAGAAAAGCCUCUAAGCUUCAGUCUAACGAUGACCGUACCGCAAACCGACACAGGUGGGCGAGAUGAGUAUUCUAAGGCGCUUGAGAGAACUCGGGAGAAGGAACUCGGCAAAUUGGUACCGUAACUUCGGGAUAAGGUACGCCCUUGUAGCUUGACCAGCCUGCGCUGGAAGGGUGAAGGGGUUGCAAUAAACUGGUGGCUGCGACUGUUUAAUAAAAACACAGCACUCUGCAAACACGAAAGUGGACGUAUAGGGUGUGACGCCUGCCCGGUGCCGGAAGAUUAAAUGAUGGGGUGCAAGCUCUUGAUUGAAGUCCCGGUAAACGGCGGCCGUAACUAUAACGGUCCUAAGGUAGCGAAAUUCCUUGUCGGGUAAGUUCCGACCUGCACGAAUGGCGUAACGAUGGCCACACUGUCUCCUCCCGAGACUCAGCGAAGUUGAAGUGUUUGUGAUGAUGCAAUCUACCCGCGGCUAGACGGAAAGACCCCAUGAACCUUUACUGUAGCUUUGCAUUGGACUUUGAACCGAUCUGUGUAGGAUAGGUGGGAGGCUAUGAAACCGGAACGCUAGUUUCGGUGGAGCCGUCCUUGAAAUACCACCCUGGUUUGUUUGAGGUUCUAACCUUGGCCCGUGAUCCGGGUCGGGGACAGUGCAUGGUAGGCAGUUUGACUGGGGCGGUCUCCUCCCAAAGCGUAACGGAGGAGUACGAAGGUACGCUAGGUACGGUCGGAAAUCGUGCUGAUAGUGCAAUGGCAUAAGCGUGCUUAACUGCGAGACCGACAAGUCGAGCAGGUGCGAAAGCAGGUCAUAGUGAUCCGGUGGUUCUGUAUGGAAGGGCCAUCGCUCAACGGAUAAAAGGUACUCUGGGGAUAACAGGCUGAUACCGCCCAAGAGUUCAUAUCGACGGCGGUGUUUGGCACCUCGAUGUCGGCUCAUCUCAUCCUGGGGCUGUAGCCGGUCCCAAGGGUAUGGCUGUUCGCCAUUUAAAGAGGUACGUGAGCUGGGUUUAAAACGUCGUGAGACAGUUUGGUCCCUAUCUGCCGUGGGCGUUGGAUAUUUGAAGGGGGCUGCUCCUAGUACGAGAGGACCGGAGUGGACGAACCUCUGGUGUACCGGUUGUCACGCCAGUGGCAUCGCCGGGUAGCUAUGUUCGGAAGAGAUAACCGCUGAAAGCAUCUAAGCGGGAAACUCGCCUUAAGAUGAGAUAUCCCUGGGGACUAGAUCCCCUUGAAGGGUCGUUCGAGACCAGGACGUUGAUAGGUCGGGUGUGUAAGCGCAGUAAUGCGUUCAGCUAACCGAUACUAAUUGCCCGUAAGGCUUGAUCCUAUAACA
This 1711-nucleotide ribosomal RNA is filed under the name Burkholderia cenocepacia. Its description in RNAcentral is "bacterial LSU rRNA". It matches the Rfam family "Bacterial large subunit ribosomal RNA", at positions 1226 to 2925 of the family's 2925-position model. The record is from RNAcentral. Lineage: Bacteria; Pseudomonadati; Pseudomonadota; Betaproteobacteria; Burkholderiales; Burkholderiaceae.